AAUAGAUACCCUGGUAGUCCACGCCGUAAACGAUGAGUGCUAAGUGUUAGAGGGUUUCCACCCUUUAGUGCUGCAGCUAACGCAUUAAGCACUCCGCCUGGGGAGUACGGCCGCAAGGCUGAAACUCAAAGGAAUUGACGGGGGCCCGCACAAGCGGUGGAGCAUGUGGUUUAAUUCGAAGCAACGCGAAGAACCUUACCAGGUCUUGACAUCCUCUGACCUCCCUGGAGACAGGGCCUUCCCCUUCGGGGGACAGAGUGACAGGUGGUGCAUGGUUGUCGUCAGCUCGUGUCGUGAGAUGUUGGGUUAAGUCCCGCAACGAGCGCAACCCUUGACCUUAGUUGCCUGCAUUGAGUUGGGCACUCUAAGGUGACUGCCGGUGACAAACCGGAGGAAGGUGGGGAUGACGUCAAAUCAUCAUGCCCCUUAUGACCUGGGCUACACACGUGCUACAAUGGAUGGUACAAAGGGCUGCGAGACCGCGAGGUUAAGCCAAUCCCAGAAAACCAUUCCCAGUUCGGAUUGCAGGCUGACC
Molecule: ribosomal RNA, 535 nt
Filed under: uncultured bacterium
Lineage: Bacteria
Description: bacterial SSU rRNA
Rfam family: Bacterial small subunit ribosomal RNA
Source: RNAcentral